GGUGAUAGAGGGAAUGAAGUUCUCCCUUAGUUAUAAAACUAAAACCUCUAAUCUUAGCUGAUGACUUCUGCAUUUAG
Molecule: non-coding RNA, 77 nt
Filed under: Lachnospiraceae bacterium 2_1_46FAA
Lineage: Bacteria; Bacillati; Bacillota; Clostridia; Lachnospirales; Lachnospiraceae
Also listed under: 1 other name
Description: Fluoride riboswitch aptamer (crcB RNA motif)
Rfam family: Fluoride riboswitch aptamer (crcB RNA motif)
Source: Rfam by way of RNAcentral